Molecule: long non-coding RNA, 1477 nt
Filed under: Ursus americanus (American black bear)
Lineage: Eukaryota; Metazoa; Chordata; Mammalia; Carnivora; Ursidae
Description: lncRNA (ENSUAMG00000014586.1)
Source: RNAcentral
CCUCCCCCAAUUUAGUCCUCCUCCGCAGGAGGUCGGCGGGCCCGGAGGCCGGGGCGGGGGAGAGCACAGCUGGCACAACUCCUGGUUGCCAGAACCAACUCGAGGCGACCCAGAGGAAGAUGCUGCGUCAAAAGAAGAGCAAGGCAAAGAAGCGCGACCCUGGAGGCUAGCGAAAUCGCCACUGAGUCCCUGAGGAGGCGGGGAGAAGCCAAGUCGCCAGGCACCGGCGACAGCGCACGCCAACAUUCGGGAUUAUUCUCCUUUCCAAACCCCGGAGUUCCGGAGCAGGAGAAAAAAGGGGGAUGGGGGACCCACAGUCCCUUUAAACCGCCUCCCCGCUCCCCACCCCCCCGGUGUCUGCCAACCUUUUCCGAACCCCCGUGUCACAGAACUUCCUCAUCAUGGAAACUUCCACUCGGUUCGGCGCUGAGGAUGCCAAACUCCAUUUCACAAGGAGCCUGUCAACAGCUGGGCUUGGGGGUUUGAGGAACAGAGCCGCUGCGAUUGGAGGGGGCCCCCAGCCACCCAGCUCCACCACUGCCCACGCUGGGGCUCCCGGACUGCCGCCGCGCGGUGCCGGAGCACGAGGGGCACCUCCUCCCGGACCCGGGGUGCAGAAACCCGGCGGAGGCAGAUUUCCAGCCGGUGACGUGUGAUUUAUUCCAGUUUCUUGUGAACAUCCCACGGAAAGGGGUGAGGAGCCACCACCCUGGCUAACAGCAUUAACAACCCCAACUGUCAGGAAUUCGGAAACUGCUGCCUGCGCCGGAAUGCACAGUGUUUCAGGUGCUUCGAGAGAGAAAAGUCGCAGACCUCCAGGCUCCCUGGCGAGAGGGAGGGGCCUCCCGGUCAGACUCCGCGGACCUUAAAUCCCCUUGGUUCUCAGUGAUAAAUCCAUGCUUUAUUUUAUUUUUCACUCGUAAUAAGGCUAUGGCAUAUAGGACUUGGAGGUUUUGUAGCUGGAGAGAAGUCGUCCUCCCUUGCAGGGAAGUUCCUGGGCUUUGCUCCAAAGCUGCCCCGGGAUGUUUUGGUUGGUUUGGAGGAAAGCUGUGGAGUCUGCACCAGUUGUUCCAAAUAGGCGGCCCCCUGGUGGCUAACUGUGGGUGAAAACUCUGGCCACUGAGUAAAAAGCUUGGUUCUAACAGGCCACAAGGGUUGACAGCCUGGUCUUUGCAGGGGCCACGGAGCCCUGUGAACAACUUCGUAAUAAGGGGGGGAGAGUGGGAGGAACGUGAUGCCAAUCUUCCUUCACAAAGAUGUAUAAUAGGCCCUAAACCCUGAUGGAACUUUGCUUUUUUUUUUUUCUCUUCCUGAGUAUAACUUGGAGCUAAAUUCCUUCUUAAGGAAACAUCAUACAGAGAAUGAAGUAUAACAAACACUGUUGCUUCCCUUUGUUCAAAUGGCUUUGUUUUUCUGAUCUCAUUUUGCCUGGAAACUUCUGAAAUAAACAGUAAAUUACAACAUGAAAUAAAUAGCA